Molecule: long non-coding RNA, 368 nt
Filed under: Manihot esculenta (cassava)
Lineage: Eukaryota; Viridiplantae; Streptophyta; Magnoliopsida; Malpighiales; Euphorbiaceae
Description: long non-coding RNA (MESC_LNC012821)
Source: RNAcentral
AGGGUUUGCAACUCCAUGAAGGUCUUAUAGUUCAUGACAUGCUCUCUCGGGUUACCAGCUCCGUUAUAGGCCGCCAUCGGCGGCAUCAUAAACUUCUUGGGAACGGUCUCCUGCUGCACUAUCUUUGAGAAGGGAGAAGAAGUGGGCAAGGAGGUUUGGCUCUGAUCUUUCUUACCUAGCUCGGCUAAGAGCUGCUCUUUCAACCUUUUCAGCUUUUGGUUCAUUUUCUCGUCUUCCGGGCUGGAUCCUUUGCCCCAGCUGUAUUCCUCCUCCUCUAUUUCAGUUCCCGUUUCCCUGGUUGUUCCGGCAGAAUAGUUGUCCGCCUCCUCAUUUUCUAUCAACUCUCUUGCCCUUCUCCCAUGGAUUCG